CGAACGCUGGCGGCAGGCCUAACACAUGCAAGUCGAACGGAUCCUUCGGGAUUAGUGGCGGACGGGUGAGUAACACGUGGGAACGUGCCCUUUGGUUCGGAACAACUCAGGGAAACUUGAGCUAAUACCGGAUGUGCCCUUCGGGGGAAAGAUUUAUCGCCAUUGGAGCGGCCCGCGUCUGAUUAGCUAGUUGGUGAGGUAACGGCCCACCAAGGCGACGAUCAGUAGCUGGUCUGAGAGGAUGAUCAGCCACACUGGGACUGAGACACGGCCCAGACUCCUACGGGAGGCAGCAGUGGGGAAUCUUGCGCAAUGGGCGAAAGCCUGACGCAGCCAUGCCGCGUGAAUGAUGAAGGUCUUAGGAUUGUAAAAUUCUUUCAGCGGGGACGAUAAUGACGGUACCCGCAGAAGAAGCUCCGGCUAACUUCGU
This 430-nucleotide ribosomal RNA is filed under the name uncultured bacterium. Its description in RNAcentral is "partial 16S ribosomal RNA". It matches the Rfam family "Bacterial small subunit ribosomal RNA", at positions 30 to 506 of the family's 1533-position model. The record is from RNAcentral.